UUUUCCAAGAUUACUGACAGCUGACAAUAACACUAUAACAAAACUCUAUUUCCCAUGUAAACCUACCGCCUGGUUACCCUUUAACCUCUCCAAACGAUCCAAUCAUAGCCCACGUCAGCCUGGAAGUAGUUAAAGCACACUGCCCCGACAGACGGCUAUGUUGAACCAAUAGAAGYAGAGAGUCAGUGGAAGUUGCCCAAUCACAGUUGAAAGGGGCGGGACUAGUGGCCGCCAGGGCAUCCGAGGAGGAGGAGGUGUUCCUGGUAGCCAUCUUGGAUGUGCGGGGUGAUUGUUUAGCGAGAAGAAUUGACAAAUUUAUUUUAAAAACUAAGCCUUAAUAUUGAAGUGCUGAGGAUUUGUUGGAGCUUACCGACAGAGGAACUCAAUCUCAACACUGAAAAACGCAGUGAAAGAAGGCAUGAAGGCAUCAUCUUAGUCAUCAGUCAUGGCCGAUAAAAGGAAACUUCAAGGGGAAAUAGAUCGAUGUCUGAAAAAAGUAGCGGAAGGAGUGGAGCAGUUUGAAGACAUUUGGCAAAAGGUAAGACAUU
Non-coding RNA from Poecilia reticulata (guppy), 548 nucleotides. The record is from RefSeq and is a predicted model, not a curated record. NCBI's taxonomy places the organism in Eukaryota, Metazoa, Chordata, Actinopteri, Cyprinodontiformes, Poeciliidae.